CACUUCUCCAGUUUGCUGACUCGUGGGACUUGGCAAGCCCAGGGAAUAGUGCUGAAGGGAAGAAAGCCCCUGGAGGGGCCUCCCGGGCGGCUGCAGGCAACCCUGCUCUUUUCAUUGGCCCCAUGUGACGCCCACAAGGGAGCAGGCCUCGAAGGCCUUGUAAAUGAGUGUUUGCAGGGCCCCUCCCUGACUACAGCCCAUAUGUCAGGACACACACCUCCGGACUGCUAAAUGGCUGAGAAAAGGACAACCGUUUUCCGUGUUGGUACGACAUGCAGCAUUGGCCAGUCAAGGAUUGAGAUCAGUCAGAGUGACAGUUUCUGGGGAAACCCUCAAUACCUUUAAGGGGAGAUCAAGGACUCUAUUGAGUUGCAGAGAAGUUACUGAAGCCAUUCAUCCAUUUGGCCAACAGCCAUCAACGCAGGCCAAGGGUGUACAUGAGGAUUUUGCUGUGCACCAAGACUAGGAACUAAAGCAAUGACAGCUAUUUCGUUUGUCCCCAACAGCCAUGUGACAUUCUCCCUUCUUCCCCAAACAUGGAGUCCUGUCAGCUGGUCUUGUUGACCACCAUACAGAACAGCCUGUACCUCAUAAGAUGCCUGUCUCAGUGUGGGGCAGAGAUUUCUCGUUAAGGAUGUUCCAGCCGUGAACUCUACUGAAAGGCUGGUUUCAAGCUCCUGGAUGCAAAUGACCCUCCUGCUUCAGCCUUUCAAGUACUAUAAUUACACUCAACCAUCGUGCCCAGAUGUUUCCGGUGCCAGGCCCUAGUGACUCUUCACAUCAGUUCAGUCGUGACACUGGUAGAAUCAGCAUAAGGAUAUUGGAAAUAUUCCUGGAAACCACUCCUACACUCUAGAAUGGCUAGAAAUAUUUAUACACAGAAGUGACUGUGAAUGCCUCUAACCCAAACUGUUUGCCUAACUCCACUUUCCUUAGCCCAAUGCCCAAGAUGCCUGAAAUCAUCAAUUCAAGGAAAGAGUUUAGUGGAGAGAAAAAUCAGACUAGAAAGAGACAGUGUCUUAAUGAACUAUCAUUAUCUAUUUGUACAAAUUUUCCCAAAACUCUAUGACCACAUGAACACUCUAGUGGAGACUUUACAGUGUUAUGAAAGUGAAGAGGCUCAAGUUGAGGCUUUAUCUGUAUGUAACUUAACUCUGGCACCAGUCAAUCAAAAAAGACAGCAGGCAUGAAAAGCCAGCUCCUUUUUCUGAUGUAUACAAGCUGCCUGAGCAUUCCUGCAUGCUGACUACUGAUGCUUGUAAGUAUCUGCAGGUAAUACACUUCCACAAAGACGUAUUCUAACUUGUUACAAAUUGUGUUUUGCCAUAUUUUUCUUAAAGACUUCAUUCUUGUCUACCUUUAAACUCUCCUUUGCUAUAUUUUUUGUUUGUUUGUUUGGGUUUUGAGACAGGGUCUCCCUAUGUAGUCCAGGCUGGACUCAAACUCUCCAAAAUUCUCCUACCCCAGCCUCCCAAGUGCUGAGAUUAUAGGCGUGUGCCACCACCCUGGCUUCUUUGCUGUAUUAUCAGGCUCUUUCAUUUUUCAUGUGUUUUGCAGCCAUGAUCUGCAUAUAGAUUUUAAAAUGUUUGUUGUAUUAAGGGGCUUAAUAAAGAAAGAAUUACACAACAGACAGGUUUUGGAAGUCCUCCUUUGUGAGUGUCUUUAGUUGCUCUUUAGUUUGCAUUGAUUCAAAAUGUUUACCUUUCGUGGUCAUUUUGACUUUGGGGAAGAGCCAGAGGUUGCAUAGUGCCAAAUCUGCUGAAUAAAGUGGAUAAGGACAUACCAUAAUGUUUUCACAAGGCUCCUUUGCCACUGGAAUGCAUUUGGCAGCAGUAUUCACCAUAUUUUAUUUUCUAACACCUUGUAAAGGCACUCACAAGUGAGGUCCUCUCUUCAGAAAGUAGCAACAAUGGGACAGUGUGUUCAAAUUGAGAGGGAGUAUUCUGAGGGAAAUUAAUGGCAAUGUGUCUUUUACUGUAGUAAAUUUUAAAAAUUUAAAUGUUCACUGUAUAUUUUAAUUGUACUCUGUAAGAAUAGCUUGAAUUAAAAUGCAAAAUGUGGACUUAGGCAAAGGAAAGUAUUAAACAAUAAACUAAUGACUGAAAUGACCAAGUUAAAGAGAGUCCUAAGAAGCAUUUCCCAGGUCAAGAGCUAGAUUUGUGUCUGUUCACUGGUUUCUCCUCUAGUAGAAUCUAAGAGUAUUGAAGGCAAGGGCUAUAUAUUCAUCUCAUGUGUACAGCCUGAUACAUGUGCAGUCAGCUUUACUGAAUAAGAAAAGUAAUGAGUUGUGAUGAAAGACUAACAGAAACUGUGCUGUGUUAAUGAAUGAACACAUGAAACAACAAGUAUGAGGAAUGGUCAUGCUUUUUUGUUGCUGGUUAGGAGUCACUGGAAAUCUUGGCAAGUGUGACUCUGGCAAAGGUGAAGCAGAGGAAGUUAGAUCUGAGAAAUUCCGGAAGAGUGUUGUUUAUUAAGGAAACUCACUGUGGAUGCUGUUGCAGGAUGUAGGAGUAAGAUGGAAGGGAAGUGCAGUUGUUAACAGGGCCAAACAUCUGGGCUUUUUUGUAUUCAAAAAGAGGAGGUAGGAUCUAAAGAAGAGAAGAAGGGAGUUGGGGGACAGGAGGCAGAGUAGAGUAUCAUCAAGAUGAGUGUGAUAAAAGGUCUUCACACAAGCAGUGACUCAAAGGCUAGUGUGGUGCGGGGUCCUGGAUCUUGGCCCCCUUUUAGGAAAUGUGUACACCAUGGGCCAUGACACCAGCAGGAGUAAAUGAGUGGCCUGGUGAAAAGGAGUGAUAUCCUAAGAGAGGUCAUGGGGGCACAGGUGACGGGAGAGGAAGCCACAUGUGGCACUCACUAAUGGCAACGAUGGAACCGGAAUGCUUGGAAAGUCCCUCAUGGGAGACAAGGAGCAUUCUACCUCGGCCAAAUGAAUAAACACAAUAUAAAGUUUUCUUCAGUGGCCCCCAGGAUUUGCCAUCCUCCUAUUUCCAUGGAGGACUCCUAAAGUCAACAGAAUUAUCCUGUGGGUCAGAGCCAUGCUGAAAAGCAGUGUGGGAAGAGCACAGCCUACUCUACUAUAUUUUGACCUUGGAGUUUAUUUCCACUCUGUCUUUUUCUUUGAUCCCAAAGUUCACAAUAGCCUUUCCUUAGAUGUGUGCAUGUUUUACCUAAGUAAAUUACUCUGUGGUAGUAACCUUUUAAUUUUCUUAAUUAAAUGUGCUCUGUAUCCCAGUUAGCCAGAUCUAUGUUGAGUUUUUUGUUUGUUUAUUUGUUUGUUUUUGGCACCAGGGAUCGAACUCAGGAUCUUGUGCUUGUGAGGCAGGUGACGGCACCACUGGGCUAAAUCUUCGGCCUAUGUUAACUUUUAAUGUAAUCACCAAGAUGAUUUCCCACCCAACACAGCAUUAUACACAUAUUGAGGUUUACACUAUCCACUUAUUCUGGUUCACUCUUCUUAGGUUAGCUUUUCCCACUUUUUUUCUCUAUACCUUUUGAUUCUUUGACCUAAACACAAAAUGAACACAAAUCUAGAAAGAGAGAAACAGAACAAGAGAGUGAAGCUCAUUCUGGAAGCAAAAAAGAGAGGCCUUUCUAUUUCAUUGGCUGGCAAUAAAGCCUGAAACUCCAUCACCAUGUUGCCUGGCAACUUAGGAAAUAUUUUUGUGAUUAAACAAAAAAUAUCUGGAGUAAAUUCACAAUGAAACAGCUAAAACGCAUUAUAUCAUCCUGCAUUUCACCAUUAAAACAUGAGUAGCAGACACUUUGGGACAGAUAACCCUCAAGAAAACAAAAACAAACAUGCUGGCAAUGCCAAGAGGCAGGAGGGACCAGGAAAUGGCCUGGACUGGGACCAGAAGUCCGAGGCAAAUCUCAAACCCUUUGAGGCACUUGGUGUUUUUCAUCCGCAAAAAGAACAAGUGGGAUUAAUGAGCUCUGACAUUUCAUAAUUCAAAAGAAACAGUAAAAACUAGGAGCAUAGAACCAGUCAUUUUUUUGAACUGCAGCAUUUAUUAUGCUUGGGUAGGCUAUGAACACAGGCCUAAAGGGUGAAAAUCAUUCAUCUUGCCUUAAAUGAAAUCCACAGUGGGGUUGUUAGGUUCCCAUAAGCUAUCAAUGCCUGCUUAUUACAAGUAACCCCUUCUUUAGAAAAGCAGAAGCUCAGCAUUAUGAAAGCUGCUCAUCUCAUUAAGAGAAACAAACAAACAAAACCCUCCUGGAAAUUUCUUCAACACUAUUACAACAAGCAAUCCCAGAGUCAAGAAGUCCAGGCAAACUUAAAGUAACUUGUUUGUGGAAAUCACAAAUGAAUAGGCUAUAAAAAUAUCCAAAAAGAGAAGGUGUGGUUGCAAACUAAAAACUGCAGCAACAAAGCUUUGAAGAAUAUAGUGUGGCUGUUAAAAAUCAAGGAUGCUGGGCUCCAAUCCUGGCUUUACCAUUUACUGGGCUAUCUUUUUUAACUCUCUAUAUCUCAGUUUAUUCAUCCAUAUGGGGGUCAUAAGAGUAGCACACAGCCUCACAGACUUAUCAUACCAGUGAAAUGAGUUAGAAAUGGGCUUACAAUAGUAGCUGACAUAGAGUUAGCUAUUGUUGAAUAAGCCAGUAACUGCUAAUACCAGUACUAGAGUUUGGAUUCAAAGUCCAAGACCACUGAUUAUUAACAGUUGACCUUUGGCCAACCUUCCUGGCCUUUCAAUUCCUCAUCUCUAAAAUGGGAAUAACCAUUACUGUGAGAAUUAAACAAAGUAAUGUUUGUGACAUGCACAGAGCAGCUAUUAUGAAUCAUUACUAUCCAAUAAUCAUCAAGAAAUUUCUCUGCAAUUUAUUUAGCUUCUGUUGUUUUAUUAAUGCCUUAAAAAUAACAAUGAAUGGUGAAGACAGUCAAUUUUAUAUGCAUUUUACCACAAUAAAAACAAAUUAGAAAAAAAUAACAAUGGAUGCGAAAGACAUUUCAAGAAGGAAAGAAUAGUCUUUUCAACAAAUGGUGCUGGGAAAACUGAUAUCCACAUUCAAAAGAAUGAAGUUGGGCCCCUUGCUCACACCAUAUGCAAAGUUUACCUCAAAAUGAGUCAAAGAACUAAAUAUAAGAGCUAACCUUUUAAGCUCAUAGAAAAAAGAUAAGCAUGUCUUUAUGGACUUGAUUAGGCAAUGGUUUCUUAGCUUAGACAUCAAAACCACAAACGAUAUGCACAAAAAAACAGAUAAAUUGGACAUCAUCAAAAUGAACAACUUUUAUACUUCAAAGAGCACCAAUUAAGAAAGUGAAAAAACCCACAGAAUGGGAAAAAUUACUUGUAAAUCAUACAUCUGAUAAGGGACUUGUAUGCAAAAUACUUGAACUUUUAAAACUCAAUAACAAAAAGACAAAUACUUAAUAAAUGGAUAAAGAAUCAGAAUAUACAUUUUUCUGAAAAUAUACAAGUGGUCAAUAAGCACAGAAAAAGAUUCUUUUUUUUUUUUUGGUACUGGGGAUCGAACUCGGGUCCUUGCGCUUGCACAGCAGGCGGCGAAACCACUGAGCUAAAUCCCCAGUCCAGAAAAGGAUUCUUAACAUCAUUACCCAUCAGAGAAAUGGAAAUCAAAACCAAAUAUCACUUUAUAUCCACUAGAAGGGAUAUAAUAAAAAAGACAGAAAUAACCAAGUGUUGGUAGGGAUGUGAACAAAGUUGAGCCAUAAUAUGUACUGCUAGUGAGAGUGUAAAAGAGUGCAAAUAUUUUUUUAGAAAACAGUGUGACUAUUCCUCAAAAGAUUAACCAUAUGGUAAAUGAUAUGACAUAGUAUAUGAUUUGAUAAUUCAAACCUUAGGUAUACACUCAAGAGAAAAACGUACAUACAAAAGUUUGUACACAAAUGUUCAUACCAGCAUUAUUCAUAAUAAUCAAAGAGUGAAAACAACUAAAAUGUCCAUUGACUGAUAAACAGAUAAAUGUGCUAUAUCCAUAACAUGGAAUUGUGUCCAACAAUAAAAAGAAAUUGAUAAACACUACAUGAAUGAAACUUGAAAACCUUGAAAGAAACCAAUCACAAAAGGCCACAUAUUAUAUGAUCCCAUCUGUAUGAAAAGGUAGAAUAGGCAAAUUUAUUAGUGAAAGCAUGUAGACCAGUGGUUUCCUAGAGGUGGGGAUAUGGGAGAGAACAGUUAGUGUGGUAGGGCCCCUCCUGACAUGUCAUGUGGGGUGGGGGGACUUUUUACAAUGUAACAUAUCAGCUUCUGUGUAGGCAUGUGUAGUUCUGAGGCAACUCUGUAACAUAAAUUAUACCCAACCACACUGCAGAAUGUUAAUGUAUACCCAACCAGACUAUAAAAUGAUAGUGUAUGCCCAUAUAAGGGAGACAAAGACACAAAAACUGUAUAAAAGGGUGCAACUACACCAUGUUCAGCACUCACCUUUUGGAUAUGAAUCCACCACUUCCUGAGAAAAACUGCCUCGGUAUCCUGUCUUUCUAUACUAAAAUCCCAUUGCAUUAGGGGAAAAUGAGGAUUGACUGUUGAUGGGUGUGGUUUCCUUUUGGAGUGAUACAAAUGUUCAAGAAUUGGGGAGUUUAGUGAUUGAUCCACAAUUGUAAAUAUCCUAACCACCAUUGAAUUGUGCACUUUAAAUUAGUGAAUUACAAGGUGUGUGAAGUGUAUCUCAAUAAAACUAUUAUUAAAAAUAAUAAUGGAAACAUCAGAAGCUCCAAGAACUGCCCCGCAUACCUCCAGACAGGCCCCAAAUUUAUCUUCCAG
Molecule: long non-coding RNA, 6725 nt
Filed under: Heterocephalus glaber (naked mole-rat)
Lineage: Eukaryota; Metazoa; Chordata; Mammalia; Rodentia; Bathyergidae
Description: lncRNA (ENSHGLG00000049465.1)
Source: RNAcentral